GGCGGGUUGGCAGAGCGGUCUAAUACUCCCGACUUAUAAUCGGGCGACCCAGCUAGCUGGUUUGGGUCCGCGGGUUCGAUUCCCGCACCCGCCGCCA
Molecule: transfer RNA, 97 nt
Filed under: Acidobacteriota bacterium
Lineage: Bacteria; Pseudomonadati; Acidobacteriota
Description: tRNA-Ile
Rfam family: tRNA
About the family: Transfer RNA (tRNA) molecules are approximately 80 nucleotides in length. Their secondary structure includes four short double-helical elements and three loops (D, anti-codon, and T loops).
Source: RNAcentral